CUACGGGGGGCUGCAGUGGGGAAUCUUAGACAAUGGGGGAAACCCUGAUCUAGCCAUGCCGCGUGAGCGACGACGGCCCUAGGGUUGUAAAGCUCUUUCAGCAGGGAAGAUAAUGACGGUACCUGCAGAAGAAGUCCCGGCUAACUCCGUGCCAGCAGCCGCGGUAAUACGGAGGGGACUAGCGUUGGUCGGAAUUACUGGGCGUAAAGCGCGCGUAGGCGGAUUGUUAAGGCGGGGGUGAAAUCCCGGGGCUCAACCCCGGAACUGCCCUCGAUACUGGCAGUCUUGAGUUCGAGAGAGGGGAGUGGAAUUCCGAGUGUAGAGGUGAAAUUCGUAGAUAUUCGGAGGAACACCAGUGGCGAAGGCGGCUCACUGGCUCGAUACUGACGCUGAGGUGCGAAAGCGUGGGGAGCAAACAGGAUUAGAUACCCUUGUAGUC
RNAcentral lists this ribosomal RNA (439 nucleotides) under uncultured bacterium. RNAcentral's name for it is "partial 16S ribosomal RNA". It matches the Rfam family "Bacterial small subunit ribosomal RNA", at positions 339 to 795 of the family's 1533-position model. The record is from RNAcentral.